This 511-nucleotide ribosomal RNA is filed under the name uncultured bacterium. Its description in RNAcentral is "bacterial SSU rRNA". It matches the Rfam family "Bacterial small subunit ribosomal RNA", at positions 18 to 518 of the family's 1533-position model. The record is from RNAcentral.
UAUGGCUCAGAACGAACGCUGGCGGCGCGUCUUAAGCAUGCAAGUCGAACGGCAAGAGGUAGCAAUACCUCCUAGAGUGGCGGACUGGUGAGUAACACGUGGGUGACAUACCCUUCAGAUGGGGAUAGCUAUUAGAAAUAGUAGAUAAUACCGAAUACGAGCACAGGGGUUAGAGAUCUGUGAGGAAAGGAGCUAAGGCUCCGCUGAAGGAAUGGCCUGCGGCCCAUUAGCUAGUUGGUGAGGUAAGAGCCCACCAAGGCGAUGAUGGGUAUCCGGCCUUAGAGGGUGAACGGACACAUUGGGACUGAGAUACGGCCCAGACUCCUACGGGAGGCAGCAGCUAAGAAUAUUCCGCAAUGGACGAAAGUCUGACGGAGCGACGCCGCGUGGAUGAAGAAGGCCGGAAGGUUGUAAAAUCCUUUUGAAACUGAAGAAUAAGCGUUGUAGGGAAUGACAGCGUGGUGACAGUAGGUUUUGAAUAAGCAACGGCUAAUUACGUGCCAGCCGCUGC